UACAGAGGUCUCAAGCGUUGUUCGGAUUCAUUGGGCGUAAAGGGUGCGUAGGUGGCGCCGUAAGUCAGGUGUGAAAUUUCGGAGCUUAACUCCGAAACUGCAUUUGAUACUGCGGUGCUUGAGGACUGGAGAGGAGACUGGAAUUCAUGGUGUAGCAGUGAAAUGCGUAGAGAUCAUGAGGAAGACCAGUGGCGAAGGCGGGUCUCUGGACAGUUCCUGACGUGAGGCACGAAGGUCAGGGGAGCAAACGGG
Molecule: ribosomal RNA, 252 nt
Filed under: uncultured bacterium
Lineage: Bacteria
Description: partial 16S ribosomal RNA
Rfam family: Bacterial small subunit ribosomal RNA
Source: RNAcentral